Camelus dromedarius (Arabian camel) is the source of this 2325-nucleotide RNA transcript. It is a transcript of the gene named REX4 homolog, 3'-5' exonuclease, with no coding region annotated. NCBI's taxonomy places the organism in Eukaryota, Metazoa, Chordata, Mammalia, Artiodactyla, Camelidae. The transcript has 6 exons. The record is from RefSeq and is a predicted model, not a curated record.
AGAAGAGCACUUCCGGGGAUCGGGGCGCACGUGCCGAGGCGCUCGCGGGGUCGCUUCCGGGGUCCCGAGCGCGGGUGUACCCCCCCAGCGGGCGAGUCGGGGGCUGGCCGGGGCCUGUGCUCGGCGGGCAGAGCCCGGCUCCGGGGCCGCGGCGAGGCGCCGUGAACGGGCGCAGGGACCAGGGACGAGGCCGGGAUGGCGAAGACGACGCCGCUGACCCCCAAGCGCGCCGCGGUCGACCCCGCGCCUGGGCCGGGGCUCGUCAGAAAGCCGACUCGGAAGAAGAUGAAGAAGAAAAGAUUCUGGAAGAACAAAGCGCGAGAAGUAGGCGAGAAGCCGGGAAACGACGCCGGAGGCGUCGCGGUGCGGCCUCCAAAGGCACCAGAAGACUUUUCCCAAAACUGGAAGGCGCUGCAGGAGCUGCUGAAGCAAAAAUCACAGACCCGGAAAGAUCCUCUUGGUCUCUCUCAGAUGGAUUCCAAAAAGCAGCCCCGAAGUGUCCAGCAGAACAGGAAGUCGAUCCCAGAUAAAGCAAAGAGGGCUGAGAUGGGGACAGAAGACACAGACCAGGAGGCCACAGGGGGCUCUGUUCCCCCAGGAUCACCACCGGACAGGAAGAUGCCUGCACUUCACACACAGCACAGCGGGCAGUCACGGCACAGUGAGAAAGCAGCCAAGAAGAGGACCAAUGGGAACAUUUCUCUGAAGCGAGGAGACAUCAAGCAUAAGAAGCGGAAAGCUAAGGAGGCGACCGCCACCUCAGCCCCAGCCCCACCCACCGAGGAAGACAUCUGGUUUGAUGAUGUGGACCCGGAGGAUAUUGAAGCGGCCAUCGGCCCCGAGGCAGCCGACAUAGCGAGGAAGCAGCUGGGUCAGAGCAAGAGCAGCACCACGCUGGUGAAGGAGCGGGCCUUCAGUGGCCUGACCAAAGCCUUAGCCCUGGACUGUGAGAUGGUGGGUGUGGGCCCCCAGGGGGACGAGAGCAUCGCCGCCCGCGUGUCCCUGGUGAACCAGUAUGGGAAGUGUGUUUAUGACAAGUUCGUGAAGCCGACCCAGCUGGUGACUGACUACAGGACGGCGGUCAGCGGGAUCCGGCCCGAGGACCUCGCGCAGGGAGAAGAAUUUGAAGUUGUCCAGAAGGAAGUGGCAGGCUUGCUGAAGGGCCGGAUUCUGGUCGGACACGCGCUGCACAAUGAUCUGAAGGUACCGGCUGCUGACACCAGCUGCUUGGGCCCUGCGUGCACCUCGGCCGCGCUGGCCUUCUGUGGAGCACAGCGUCUAAGGCAGUCAUGCUUGGUUCGUGCACUGAGUGACAUGCCCACGUGUCAGCUUGGUGGACCGACUCCCCGCACACCACCCGCACACCCGCUGGACAGGCUGCAGCUCCUCUCAGGGCAGAGCUUCCCUGGUGACCAUUCCCUCGAAGCCACCAGGCAGCCCCCACCUCACAGGCUGGCCCACCACGGCCAGCUCAGAGGGCAGCAGGCAAGCUCAGAAGGCCCCCUUCCCGAGGCCCAGAGGGAGCGGCCUCAGCCUCUGCCCUGCAGGGUCCUGCUGUGGGCAAAGCUGACCCUCCGGUUCGGGUGGGAAGCUCAGGGCAGGCAGGGUGGGAGCCUGUCCUCCCUGGACCUGGAGCUUUUCCACGUCCUCUGGGACCCUGGAAUCCUCCCACGUCUCAGGGACUGGGAAGUGUUGGUCUUACGUGCCUUUUAAAAGUAAGUUUUUAACCGUUAAAAACUAACGAGUCCUCUGCUCACAGAAGCACACUUUGUUGGGGUGAUUCUCACCCCAGGGGCCCGGUGCCCCGCUCCCUCCUCGCGCCCUCUCCGUCCCUGGUAACUUGGAUGGACUCAGACCUCCCCCGAGGCCUGUCCCGCGGCCGUGUGCUGAGCUGCUGAAACCGGCUCUGUUCUCGCCUCACUGUGUGUGUGACACCAACUGAAAACAGACAAGUUGGCUGCUGGUUCCUCGGCUCCAGCUUCCCGGCCUCAAGGCUGUUUCAGCCCCGUGGUUCGUGGUUCGAGGGCCUCCUCCCCUGGGUGGUUUUCUCCCAGACGUUCAGGCUGUCGUCAGCACCUCAUUUCAUCUGUGCGGGAACGUGUGUCGUUGCUGGAAUUGGGGGGUUCCCUCACAGCAGGUGAACGGUGAGGCCCCCGUCGUGUUUUCUCCCUCCAGGCGCUGUUCCUGGGUCACCCAAAGAAGAAGAUCCGGGACACUCAGAAGUACAAGCCUUUCAGGAGCCAAGUGAAGAGUGGACGGCCAUCUCUGAAGCUGCUUGCAGAGAAGAUUCUGGGGAUCCAGGUGCAGCAGGCGGAGCACUGUUCG